RNAcentral lists this long non-coding RNA (508 nucleotides) under Homo sapiens (human). RNAcentral's name for it is "HSALNT0275428". Lineage: Eukaryota; Metazoa; Chordata; Mammalia; Primates; Hominidae. The record is from RNAcentral.
GUUUGUUUUCUCUUUAAACAUUUGUCCCAUGGAGCACAACUUCGGUAGAAUUCUAACAAGUCAAAUGCAGAAGUUAGGUGAAGUCAGUUCUUGGAUACUCCUGUACUGUCACCCUGGUCUUAUCUCAUGCCUUAGCCCAAGCUAUGCACACAAUGGGGUCCUAGGUCCCCCUCCCCUCCCAGAUUCCGCCUUCCCAGGGAUGGGACCCCCUAGAACCCUCGGAGGCCUGGGCAGUGGCCUCGCUGGCUCUCGCCUUCCUAGGAGCUGAGCAGGAGCUCCACUCUCAGCAGGGCAGGGUGCCCCAGAUCCAUGACUUGUGGCACGAAGGGGCUCCCCAAGAAGCUGUGAAGCCACAGGGCCAGGCUUGGGGCCAGGGCUGCAGCCAACAGGACACAUCCUGGUGCUGCUCGGGAGCUGACUCACGGCUCUGAAAUCAUUCAGUGAUGUCCACAUUCAGCCUUUGUUUACGAUGCUGCUACUUUUUCAUGGCCUGAAAUUGCAGCACACC